AUUCCUACGGGAGGCAGCAGUGGGGAAUAUUGGACAAUGGGGGCAAGCCUGAUCCAGCCAUGCCGCGUGGGUGAAGAAGGCCUUAGGGUUGUAAACCCCUUUCAGCGGGGAAGAUAAUGACGGUACCCGCAGAAGAAGUCCCGGCUAACUCCGUGCCAGCAGCCGCGGUAAUACGGAGGGGACUAGCGUUAAUCGGAAUUACUGGGCGUAAAGCGUGCGCAGGCGGUUUUGUAAGACAGGCGUGAAAUCCCCGGGCUCAACCUGGGAACUGCGCUUGUGACUGCAAGGCUAGAGUAUGGCAGAGGGGGGUGGAAUUCCACGUGUAGCAGUGAAAUGCGUAGAGAUGUGGAGGAACACCAAUGGCGAAGGCAGCCCCCUGGGCCAAUACUGACGCUCAUGCACGAAAGCGUGGGGAGCAAACAGGAUUAGAUACCCUGGUAGUCCACGCCGUAAACUAUGGAAGCUAGCCGUCAGUCAGCUUGCUGAGUGGUGGCGCAGCUAACGCAUUAAGCUUCCCGCCUGGGGAGUACGGUCGCAAGAUUAAAACUCAAAGGAAUUGACGGAAU
RNAcentral lists this ribosomal RNA (566 nucleotides) under uncultured bacterium. RNAcentral describes it as "bacterial SSU rRNA". It matches the Rfam family "Bacterial small subunit ribosomal RNA", at positions 335 to 919 of the family's 1533-position model. The record is from RNAcentral.